RNAcentral lists this ribosomal RNA (465 nucleotides) under uncultured bacterium. RNAcentral describes it as "bacterial SSU rRNA". It matches the Rfam family "Bacterial small subunit ribosomal RNA", at positions 340 to 785 of the family's 1533-position model. The record is from RNAcentral.
UACGGAAGGCAGCAGUGGGGAAUAUUGCACAAUGGGCGAAAGCCUGAUGCAGCUAUGCCGCGUGUAUGAAGAAGGCCUUAGGGUUGUAAAGUACUUUUCAUCGGGGAGGAAAAAACAAAACUAAUAAUUUUAUUUCUUGACGUUACCCGAAAAAAGAAACACCGGCUAACUACCGUGCCAGCAGCCGCGGUAAUACGGAGGGGUGCUAGCGUUAAUCAGAAUUACUGGGCGUAAAGAAGCACGUAGGUGGUUUUUUUAAGUUCAGAUGUGAAAUCCCUGGGCUUAACCUAGGAACUGCAUUUUGAAACUGAAAUACUAGAGUAUCGUAGAGGGAGGUAGAAUUCUAGGUGUAGCGGUGAAAUGCGUAGAUAUCUGGAGGAAGUACCUGUGGCGAAAGCGGCCGUCCUAAACGAAUACUGACACUGAGGGUGCGAAAGCGUGGGGAGGCAAACAGGGAUUAGAUAC